CAACCCUCAAGCUCAGCUUGGUAUUAGGUCUCACCUGCUACAGGUGGGCCGUAAAAUCAGUGGCGGUGCCAUUCGGCUUCAAGCGUAGUAAAUUUUCUCGCUCAGGAGUACCGGUUGCGUACCUGCUAAAAACACCAAUAUUUUUUAAA
This 149-nucleotide unclassified non-coding RNA is filed under the name uncultured Helotiales. RNAcentral describes it as "sequence contains ITS2". Lineage: Eukaryota; Fungi; Ascomycota; Leotiomycetes; Helotiales. The record is from RNAcentral.